UGGGCAUUACCUGGUGCAUUUUACAUAAUUCUAGUAGAUGAUAUUUCGCCUUACUACGACCCCCCCUCCUACAAGCUUAAUACAUAAAUUGGACCCUGAACUUUACCCAAAAAAAACUAGUUACCCAACUAUACUUCUAUUUUUACCUAUUAAACCUCCAAACUUAUAUUUAUAUAGGGAUUUAAAUCGUGUGGCUAAUGUCACCAGAGUGCAUGCUGGCAUGCUCUUAACUGGCAAGUAAAGCCUAAAGAAAACCGUCCAACGUGAAUUAGAAAAAAAGAUAGCUUCAUAGGCUCUUUGUCUCUCUAUUUGAUACUGCACUUUUCUCUCCCUCUAUCUUCAAACAAUUCCAAUUUCUUUCUCAAGCAUUUGUGAAGCAGGUAGGAGUUAAGAUAUUUUAAUUUCUUCAUCUUAAUACAAUUUGUUGCUUAUCUACCCAUAGUCCAGCAACAACACUAUCCUACCAUAAGGAACCAAUUGUUAAUAUUAACAAAUUCUCUUAACCACUCAUCUAGAUAGGUUUUCAAAUAAUGCUACAUGUCCACAACAUCCUCUUAGGCAGCCAGUAGAUCUUGCUCAAUACCAUAAGGAUACUUAGCGGAGAUGACAAAAGUAUGGCUCAAAAGAAAUGUUUGCAUAGGAAUCACGGAAAUAGGUUGAAGAUGCACUGAAGAGGAUGACCCCCCCUUCAUGGAACCAAAUUAUAAAGCACUUUCCUCUCCCUCUAUCUUUAAACAAUCCCAUUUUCUUUCUCAAGCA
RNAcentral lists this unclassified non-coding RNA (759 nucleotides) under Hevea brasiliensis (rubber tree). The record is from RNAcentral. Lineage: Eukaryota; Viridiplantae; Streptophyta; Magnoliopsida; Malpighiales; Euphorbiaceae.